RNAcentral lists this ribosomal RNA (437 nucleotides) under uncultured bacterium. RNAcentral's name for it is "partial 16S ribosomal RNA". It matches the Rfam family "Bacterial small subunit ribosomal RNA", at positions 29 to 507 of the family's 1533-position model. The record is from RNAcentral.
AGCGAACGCUGGCGGCAGGCUUAACACAUGCAAGUCGAGCGGGCAUCCUUGUGGUGUCCGCGGCCGACGGGUGAGUAACGCGUGGGAACGUGCCCUUCGGUUCGGAAUAACUCAGGGAAACUUGAGCUAAUACCGGAUACGUGCGAGAGCAGAAAGGUUUAUCUGCCGAAGGAUCGGCCCGCGUCUGAUUAGCUAGUUGGUGAGGUUAUGGCUCACCAAGGCGACGAUCAGUAGCUGGUCUGAGAGGAUGAUCAGCCACACUGGGACUGAGACACGGCCCAGACUCCUACGGGAGGCAGCAGUGGGGAAUAUUGGACAAUGGGGGCAACCCUGAUCCAGCCAUGCCGCGUGAGUGAUGACGGCCUUAGGGUUGUAAAGCUCUUUUCUUCGGGACGAUAAUGACGGUACCGGAGGAAUAAGCCCCGGCUAACUUCGUG